RNAcentral lists this ribosomal RNA (292 nucleotides) under uncultured microorganism. RNAcentral's name for it is "partial 16S ribosomal RNA". It matches the Rfam family "Bacterial small subunit ribosomal RNA", at positions 505 to 796 of the family's 1533-position model. The record is from RNAcentral.
GUGCCAGCAGCCGCGGUNAUACGUAGGGUGCGAGCGUUAAUCGGAAUUACUGGGCGUAAAGCGUGCGCAGGCGGUUCGCUAAGACCGAUGUGAAAUCCCCGGGCUUAACCUGGGAACUGCAUUGGUGACUGGCGGGCUAGAGUAUGGCAGAGGGGGGUAGAAUUCCACGUGUAGCAGUGAAAUGCGUAGAGAUGUGGAGGAAUACCGAUGGCGAAGGCAGCCCCCUGGGCCAAUACUGACGCUCAUGCACGAAAGCGUGGGGAGCAAACAGGAUUAGAUACCCUGGUAGUCC